This 253-nucleotide ribosomal RNA is filed under the name uncultured bacterium. Its description in RNAcentral is "partial 16S ribosomal RNA". It matches the Rfam family "Bacterial small subunit ribosomal RNA", at positions 524 to 776 of the family's 1533-position model. The record is from RNAcentral.
UACGGGGGGGGCAAGCGUUGUUCGGAAUUACUGGGCGUAAAGGGCUCGUAGGCGGCCAACUAAGUCAGACGUGAAAUCCCUCGGCUUAACCGGGGAACUGCAUCUGAUACUGGAUGGCUUGAGUUCGGGAGAGGGAUGCGGAAUUCCAGGUGUAGCGGUGAAAUGCGUAGAUAUCUGGAGGAACACCGGUGGCGAAGGCGGGUCUCUGGGCAAUAACUGACGCUGAGGAGCGAAAGCGUGGGGAGCGAACAGG